This 522-nucleotide unclassified non-coding RNA is filed under the name Hevea brasiliensis (rubber tree). The record is from RNAcentral. Lineage: Eukaryota; Viridiplantae; Streptophyta; Magnoliopsida; Malpighiales; Euphorbiaceae.
AGUUACGAUGACUUAGACCCAGACGAAAAAGAAAUAUUCCUUGAUGUAGCAUGCUUCUUCAAAUGGUGGGAUAAAAAUAGAGCAAUAAGUAUAUUAGAAGGUUGUGGAUUUUUUGCAAAAUGUGGAAUAAGUCGCCUCAUUGAUAAGUCUCUCAUCAGCAUUUCGAAGAGAAAUAGGUUGGAGAUGCAUGACUUAGUACAACAAAUGGGUAAAGAUAUUGUUGGUGAGGAGAAAGAGAUUGGAAAACGAAGCAGAUUGUAUAAAUCUAAGGAUAUAUACAAAGUUUUGACAAAAGAUAUGGGGACUGAAAAAGUUGAAAGCAUUUCAGCAAACAUGAACGAGAUUGGAUUUAUGGAACUAAGUUCUACAGCUUUCGUGAAAAUGCGUAAUCUCAGAUUACUCAAAUUCUACUCUUUUGGGCAUGAUCAAGUCAAAGUAGUCCUUACUAAACGCCUUAAAUCUCUCCCCCAAGAGCUGAGAUAUUUGGAAUGGCCAAAAUAUCCUUUGAAAUCUUUGCCAUCA